AAUGAACGUUGGCGGCGUGGAUUAGGCAUGCAAGUCGCGCGACAAGGAACCUUCGGGUUCUGGAGGAGCGGCAAACGGGGUAGUAAGGCAUCGGAACGUACCCUCUUGUUGGGAAUAGCCGCGGGAAAUUGCGAGUAAUGCCCAAUAAUCCCUACGGGGCAAAGGUCCGCCGCAGGAGGAGCGGCCGAUGUGAUACCAGCUAGUUGGUGAGGUAAUGGCUCACCAAGGCUUAGACGUCUAGGGGGUGUGAGAGCAUGGCCCCCACCACUGGGACGUNAGAUACUGCCACGANACCUACGGUGGGCUGCAGUCGAGAAU
Molecule: ribosomal RNA, 318 nt
Filed under: uncultured bacterium
Lineage: Bacteria
Description: bacterial SSU rRNA
Rfam family: Bacterial small subunit ribosomal RNA
Source: RNAcentral